GAAACACACUGGAUUUGAGGAUUGCCUUCUAGGCUUUCUUCUAUUAGCUUUGCGAAAUUGUGCUUUCUCGAGAACAGGGCUAUGUCUUUUAUCAUAAACCAUGUAGUAUGUUGCCAGAAUGUAAUCAAUGGGUCUCGAUGCCUAUAAAACCUUAUACAACUUUCAGCAACGGAUCUUUGGCUCUCGCAUCGAUGAAGAACGCAGUUGAAUGCGAUAAGUAAUGUGAAUUGCAGAAUUCAGUGAAUCAUCGAAUCUUUGAACGCACCUUGCGCUCCCUUGGUAUUCCGAGGAGCAUGCCUGUUUGAGUGUCAGUAAUUCUCUCAACUCCCUCUGGCUUUUUGUUUAGCUGGGCUGGAGCUUGGAUAUGGGAGGUGUUGCAGGCCUUUGUAGGUCAGCUCCUCUGAAAUGCAUUAGCGGAACCGUUUGCGAUCCGUCACAGGUGUGAUAAUUAUCUACGCCCGUGGGUUGCUUCUGUCUUGUUCAGCUGCCAACUGUCCGAAAGGACAAUCAUUUACUGAAUCUUUGACCUCAAAUCAGUAGGACUACCCGCUGAACU
This 556-nucleotide ribosomal RNA is filed under the name uncultured Lepiota. RNAcentral describes it as "eukaryotic LSU rRNA". The stretch from base 158 to 311 matches the Rfam family "5.8S ribosomal RNA". Lineage: Eukaryota; Fungi; Basidiomycota; Agaricomycetes; Agaricales; Agaricaceae. The record is from RNAcentral.